GUAGAAUGAUUUACAUUCCUUUGGGUACAUACCCAGUGGACAGAUUGCUGGCUCAAAUGGUAGCUCUAAAUUCUUUGAGGAAUCUCCACACUGCUGUCCACAGUGGCUGAACUAAUUUAUAUUCCCACCAGCAAUGUUGCUCCAAGAACCAUCUGAGAACUGGGAAGAAAGAGUGGAGACCUACAGGUCAGAUGACAUGGGUGGAGCCCAUUUCUACAGAGUGGCUUGGGCUGAGGUAAAAGAAGCUAGAGAAGAGAGCCGCUGAUGCACUGCACCUGCCUAGGCUGGAGUUAAGAUACCGAAACUGGCAACACCCAGAGACAUUUCCCUCCUAGUCAUAAAGGAAGCCAGCAGCAGAGCCAGAAAUAAUAUUCAAAUUCUGGAUCCACUAGACCAUAUUGCCCGUCUGACAAAUUAUACGCUUACAUCCUGCUUCAGUUCUAAUAAGGUACCCACAAUGCCGGGUUCUCUACCCACUGGGAGCAAACAAGGGAACGUGCAGACGCUGGACAGCAUACGAUGGAUGCCUGCAACUCCUGUACCUGCCCCCGAAUGCCACCAGAAAUAUGCCAUCUCUACUGAAACAGCUUUUCCAACCCUGAGCACGUUUAUGAACACGGAAAAGAGUGUAAAGGGGUCAAAUGCAGACUUUACAAAAAGAAACCCAAGAUGGAGAUUCCUGUUCGGGAUAUACUGCAGGUGGGGUUCAUAACAACAUAGUCCUUUACUUGCCAAGUAAUCUGAAAGCAACUAAUUAGAGAACCUGUAAGGGAUGCCAAUCCCAGUUUUCAAAAUGGCAUUUCAAGGAAAUUAAAUCUUAUCAUGUAAAUAGGUCAAGAAAUCCGUUUAAAUAACGUAUCUGCUUCUCUCUAGGUAAUCUACAAUGUUGUUAGACUAUCAAGCCAGUAGUUUUAAAUAUGUGUUGGAGCUCCAGGAUUAAUCCCUGGUUGAUCUGAGGGAGUCACUUUGUCUAACCAAAUACAAAUGAGGUGGGAGGUGUAUGGUUGAGAGGCACUAUUAGAAGAAAGGGGCCAGGUGCAGUGGCUCAUGCCUGUAAUCCCAGGACUUUGAGAGGCCCAGGCAGGUGGAUUGUUUGAUCCCAUGAGUUUGAGACCAACCUGGGCAACAUAGAGAAACCCUAUCUCUACCAAAAAUACAAAAUUAGCCAGGCAGGGUGGCGCAUGCCUAUAAACUCAGCUACUCAGGAGGCUGAGGCAGGAGAAUCACUUGAAUCCAGAAGGUGGAGGUUGCAGUGAGCCAAGCCAUUGCACACCAGUCUGGGCAAAGAGUGAAACUCUGUCUCAAAUAAAAUAAAAUAAAAUAAAAUAAAAUAGUAAAUCUGCUGACCUUCCCUCCACUAUUGUCCUGUGACCCUGCCAAAUCCCCCUCUGCGAGAAACACCCAAGAAUGAUCAAUAAAAAAUAAAAAUAAAAAAUAAAUAAA
Molecule: long non-coding RNA, 1443 nt
Organism: Homo sapiens (human)
Lineage: Eukaryota; Metazoa; Chordata; Mammalia; Primates; Hominidae
Product: long intergenic non-protein coding RNA 2909
Source: Ensembl